This 253-nucleotide ribosomal RNA is filed under the name uncultured bacterium. Its description in RNAcentral is "partial 16S ribosomal RNA". It matches the Rfam family "Bacterial small subunit ribosomal RNA", at positions 524 to 776 of the family's 1533-position model. The record is from RNAcentral.
UACGGAGGGUGCAAACGUUGCUCGGAAUUAUUGGGCGUAAAGCGCACGUAGGCGGACCAUCAAGUCGGAUGUGAAAUCCCUCGGCUUAACCGAGGACGUGCACUCGAAACUGAUGGUCUUGAGUACGAAAGAGGAUCGCGGAAUUCCCGGUGUAGAGGUGAAAUUCGUAGAUAUCGGGAGGAACACCAGUGGCGAAGGCGGCGAUCUGGGUCGAUACUGACGCUGAGGUGCGAAAGCGUGGGGAGCAAACGGG